UUUUUUUUUUUUUUUUAAGUAAACUCUACCUUCACUAUGGGGCUUUAACUUAUAAGAUCAAGAGUCAUAUGUUCUACUGACCGAGCUAGCCAGGUGCCCAAAACCUAAGCAUCUUUUUAAAGACCUUUGAUGUGCACUGCUAAAUUGCUCCAGAAAAUUUUAUCAGUCUGGUCUGAAAUAGCCUCUUUACCCACACUCUGCCAACAUUGCAUGUUCCUUUUCUAAAGCCUUUGCCACCAGAUUUUGACAAAUAAUAAUAAGGUUUGUUUUCUUAGAUUCUGGUUUCCCAUAGAUGAUGGGCUGAGUCAACACUAACCUGUUUAUCUUUUUGGUUUUGCUAAAUAGGAGUGACCAUGUAUACUGCAUCCUCAGAGAAACCUUCCACUUUUGAAAGAACUAAGUUAAAGAGGAUUAGGAUGGAAAAAGAAAUGGUGGCCUCCGGUAGCCAAUCCACUGAGCCUCUCUCGGUAAAAUUAGAUUGGCUUUAGCGACAAGUUAUGUUAUUCUCACAAUUUUUUAGAACAGUUUAAGUUUUAAGUUUAAACGACAGUCUAGUUGGACAGAACAGCCUCUUAAUUUUUUUCUAGUAACUUUCAACCUUAUUGAUGACGUUAUACCAGAGUACACUGCCUGCUUUAAUAUAUUACUUAGUCCUCACACCAAACCUAUGAUGUAGCUUCUAUUAUUGGCCCCAUUUUUAUAAAACAAGUAGAAAAUUACCCCAGUCAUUCAGUGAAUGGUGUUGAAGGGGCAGCGAGACCCACGUCCCCUGACUACUGUGUAUGAAGCUGCCUCUACUCCGUGGUACUCGUUGUACCACUUCUCUCCAACUCUGUUCCCUUUCCAUCUUUCCACAUUCAUAUCCAUAAUUCAUAUCCAUCCUUUAGGGACAGUGGACCCUAUGAAAAAGAAAUCGGUAGCCAAGAAAAAAAUUACAGUGUGUAUUUGAAGUCUCCACACCAACGCCUAGCUCUGCAGCGUGUGGGUAAGUUCCUACUGUACCGUUACCAAAUGGUCAUUGGCAUUUGUGUGUGUUUGGAGAAACUUUAGUUGAAGUCAAAUCCUUAUUAGGUUAAGUACAAAGAAAUUAGGCUUUCUAGCUAAAAAAUAGCUGCUUACUCUGGAUGAAAGAUUAUUUACAAUAAAACAAUAACUAUCAAAAUCAUCAUUUGUUUAACCACAGUCAUAGAUCCAGAUGAAUUUUUAGUGGCACUUUUCAGGAUUGAGUGAGUUGAGACAGAGUGUCAUCAUAUAAGGUAAGAUAAACUAUCAGGCUUUCUCUGAAACAAAGAAGAGAGCAGUCUUCAUCCUAUGGUGUGGUCUUUCUGGAGUUGUACUUAGAUUUACCGGAAGACCUAACUACUCAGAGACAUUGGUGUUCUCCGAGGGUCUGUAUUGGCCUUUUCACCAUGUACAUUUUAGGUAGAAGGAAGGUUAAGUGUUUGAGAAUAUAGACUUGGGUGUCAAACCUGCCUUUGAAGAUUAGCUUUGCCACUUCCUAGUUUUUUAACCUGGCGCAAAUUAUUUCAGUUUAGUUAAGUUACUACUUACUUGUAACAUGAGGAUCAUUUUUCUCUUCAUCAGGUUUUGAUGAAUAAAUGAAUGCUUCACACAGUACGUGCACAUAGAAAGUACACAGUAAUUAAGAACUCUUGCUGCCUGUCGUAUUAAUGACUUCUAAAUCUCUUUCCUGCUUCUCCCUCUGCCUGUGUCUCUGUCUCUCGUGAAUAAAUAAAAUCUUUUUAAAAAAAGCUUCUUGAUGAGGUUUUAGGAUUACCUUUAGGAAAGGUGGAUGUGCAACUGUUCCAUAAUUGGCUUUUUAGUAUUUUUGUUGAAAGAGACUGUGCCCUUCAACUGAUUUUUUUCCUUGUCAUUAUUAUACCUAUUUCUUUGUAAAGUCUUUUUAAUACUUGUAUAAUAUCUGAGAGUUCCCCCUUCUUCACUUAUGUUGAUGCUUCUCCAAGGAAGAAAUAUGUACUUAAUCUUGAAGUUAAAGCUAACCUAAGGUAGCAAAGUAUAUGUUACUAAUGACUGGAAUAGCUAAAAUACUUGUACAUUUUUUCCCCUAUCAUUAAUAUUACAUAUAAGUUAGUGUUUAACAUAAAAGUUGACUGUUAGGGGUUUAUCUUGAGAAAAUUAUGUAAUUCUCUUGAAACCAACAGACUUGAAAAAAUCAGAAUGAGUUUCCAAAAUCUGGUUUAAUUCCAAUCUGGGGAGGAGAGGGCAUUGUGAGAAAUACAUAUGCACAGAAACCUAAUCAAUGCUAGACAAACAACGUAUUAGUUUACAGUAUAAUAGGAUAACCAUAAAUUUGAAGGCUCAAAUUGAGUCCAUUAGCAGUAAAUACAGUUUUCUAUUUGGCUCAAGUGGCUACUGAAUAUCAAGUGAUGCUGAGUUCCUCCAAAGCACCUAAUGACCCCGCAGCCUUGGAAGGAGUUUCACCACAGUCUCAGAAGAAAUCCCAGUCAUGCCUUUAACUCUCUUGGCCCUUGGGAGUCAUCGCUGCCCAAAUACAAAUGCAGGCCAGGGAUUUCUAGUGGCCACAUGUUAUUGCACAGAGAGGUCUGUUCUAAGCCAGACUCUUAGGCUAAGAAGGUGUGAGAUCAGCCCUUAAAUAGUGGUCUAGCAUUAAUGUGGUCUAUCAAAGCAUGUUAGAGAAAUAGCUCCUCAGUGAUUAUGUACCAGCUACUCUAGUUAUCAAACUAACAGAAAAGGCAAUGUGGCAGCUUCACAUUUCACAUGAAAGACUAGCAUUAACUGGGCCUGGUGCUGGCUUCAUUUUCACAUAAAUCUAGUGAUUCUUUUAAUUUAGACCCAGGAAUAAAUGAUUUCAUACCAGUCUUUUCUUCACAUCGGUUUGUGUAGCAUUUAAAUUCUUAUGGGUUAAUGGCUAGGCCAUGAAGGCAAAAAUGUUUAACUCUCCUUUGCCAAAACAGAAACAAUCCCUGUUCUGACUCCUGUCCAGUUU
Molecule: long non-coding RNA, 2968 nt
Filed under: Canis lupus familiaris (dog)
Lineage: Eukaryota; Metazoa; Chordata; Mammalia; Carnivora; Canidae
Description: lncRNA (ENSCAFG00000052859.1)
Source: RNAcentral